RNAcentral lists this unclassified non-coding RNA (219 nucleotides) under Hevea brasiliensis (rubber tree). Lineage: Eukaryota; Viridiplantae; Streptophyta; Magnoliopsida; Malpighiales; Euphorbiaceae. The record is from RNAcentral.
AAGGAAUGAAAGGGAGAGAUGAGACUUAAAAACCCUAAUUACUCACACUAGAGAACAAACGCUUGAGCAUUAAUCCUCCAGCAAAUGAGUCAUGGCUUGAUAUAAACAAUGGCCAUAAAUAUCAAUAACGGACAAAAGAUGUUAAUUCUAAUGUCACAAAUAUGAGACUGUCCACCCCAAGGGACCUGAAAAAGAAAUUGUCAACAGCAACCUUUACUU